Linepithema humile (Argentine ant) is the source of this 706-nucleotide non-coding RNA. Lineage: Eukaryota; Metazoa; Arthropoda; Insecta; Hymenoptera; Formicidae. The record is from RefSeq and is a predicted model, not a curated record.
AUAGUUCUGGACCGCGAGUUGUCGGGAUCGGGAUGCUGCAUAAACGCGGCAACUGUGUCGGCGGUAAUUGACAGCUGCCGAAAAGCUGUCGGCGAUGCGGCCGAUCGCGGAGUGCACGCGAUAGCGAGAGAAGUAUUAGCGCUUGUGUACGUACGCGAGUUUCGAAAUCGGGAGUGAUAAGCCUGCGCGACGUGGAGAUAUCGUGGCGUCCAGUAGAUCGGAUGGGAUCAUCAACAUCUCUCGGCGGAGCGAAAGAGAGACUUUUUAAAGGCCCCGGGCGUGUUUACAGUUGCAUCGCGGGCGCUUGACCGUCGUGUGUUUCAUCGAUGCGCCGCGCAUUUAGCAUCCCCGACAGGGGCAAGAAUUUUACAAUUUGCCUCUUUGUAAAUCUGAUGAGCUUGAAAAGAGGAAAAGAAGAAGAUUGUGAAGAUACUUAGAAAGAGCAGCUAAAAGACACACGUCUUUCGGUAUCAUUGCGAACGAUAACAGCGAAACAGUGCAACAGUGAUCCAUUGGAAAACGCAAUCGCAAUAGUUUGGUCUCUCUGGCCUGCGAGAUAUGUGCCCGACGGCGCGAGGACGUGUAUGCGCCUCUUUCCGUCAACGCGUUGAACGACUUUCGGUUUUCCGGCGGUGUUAGCUCUCGAAGAGACAUGAACGUGGAACGACCGGCGAUGGACAGCGGCGGCGGCAGCGGCGGCGGCGGC